This 85-nucleotide transfer RNA is filed under the name Felis catus (domestic cat). It matches the Rfam family "tRNA". From Rfam's summary of the family: Transfer RNA (tRNA) molecules are approximately 80 nucleotides in length. The record is from Rfam by way of RNAcentral. Lineage: Eukaryota; Metazoa; Chordata; Mammalia; Carnivora; Felidae. RNAcentral also lists the same sequence under 3 other names.
GCCUGGGUGGCUCAGUCGGUUGAGCGUCCGACUUCGGCUCAGGUCAUGAUCUCACGGUCUGUGGGUUCGAGCCCCGCAUCGGGCU